Molecule: ribosomal RNA, 484 nt
Filed under: uncultured bacterium
Lineage: Bacteria
Description: partial 16S ribosomal RNA
Rfam family: Bacterial small subunit ribosomal RNA
Source: RNAcentral
AUUGAACGCUGGCGGCAGGCCUAACACAUGCAAGUCGAGCGGAUGAAGGGAGCUUGCUCCUGGAUUCAGCGGCGGACGGGUGAGUAAUGCCUAGGAAUCUGCCUGGUAGUGGGGGAUAACGUCCGGAAACGGGCGCUAAUACCGCAUACGUCCUGAGGGAGAAAGUGGGGGAUCUUCGGACCCCACGCUAUCAGAUGAGCCUAGGUCGGAGUAGCUAGUUGGUGGGGUAAAGGCCUACCAAGGCGACGAUCCGUAACUGGUCUGAGAGGAUGAUCAGUCACACUGGAACUGAGACACGGUCCAGACUCCUACGGGAGGCAGCAGUGGGGAAUAUUGGACAAUGGGCGAAAGCCUGAUCCAGCCAUGCCGCGUGUGUGAAGAAGGUCUUCGGAUUGUAAAGCACUUUAAGUUGGGAGGAAGGGCAGUAAGUUAAUACCUUGCUGUUUUGACGUUACCAACAGAAUAAGCACCGGCUAACUUCGUG